GGAGUUAGCCGGUGCUUCUUCUGUGAGUGAUGUCCUUCCUGCCGGCUAUUAACCCGCAGGCCUUCUUCCUCACUGAAAGUGCUUUACAACCCGAAGGCCUUCUUCACACACGCGGCAUGGCUGGAUCAGGGUUGCCCCCAUUGUCCAAUAUUCCCCACUGCUGCCUCCCGUAGGAGUCUGGGCCGUGUCUCAGUCCCAGUGUGGCUGAUCAUCCUCUCAGACCAGCUACGGAUAGUCGCCUUGGUGAGCCGUUACCUCACCAACCAGCUAAUCCGACAUAGGCUCAUCCGAUAGCGCGAGGCCCGAAGGUCCCCCGNUUUCCCCCGUAGGGCGUAUGCGGUAUUAGCCUGGGUUUCCCCCAGGUUAUCCCCCACUACCGGGCAGAUUCCUAUGCAUUACUCACCCGUCCGCCGCUCGCCACCAGGGAGCAAGCUCCCCGUGCUGCCGCUCGACUUGCAUGUGUUAGGCCUGCCGCCAGCGUUCAAUCUGAGCCAGGAUCAAACUCUGA
This 508-nucleotide ribosomal RNA is filed under the name uncultured bacterium. RNAcentral describes it as "partial 16S ribosomal RNA". The record is from RNAcentral.